Molecule: ribosomal RNA, 253 nt
Filed under: uncultured bacterium
Lineage: Bacteria
Description: partial 16S ribosomal RNA
Rfam family: Bacterial small subunit ribosomal RNA
Source: RNAcentral
UACGUAGGGGGCAAGCGUUGUCCGGGAUUACUGGGCGUAAAGCGCGCGUAGGCGGCUUGGUAAGUCGGUUGUGGAAGCCCCGGGCUCAACCCGGGAAUGGCGACCGAAACUGCUAGGCUAGAGUGCGGUAGGGGGUGCUGGAAUUCCUGGUGUAGCGGUGAAAUGCAUAGAUAUCAGGAGGAACACCGGUGGCGAAGGCGGGCACCUGGGCCGCCACUGACGCUGAGGCGCGAAAGCUAGGGGAGCAAACCGG